Molecule: long non-coding RNA, 4468 nt
Organism: Vespa velutina
Lineage: Eukaryota; Metazoa; Arthropoda; Insecta; Hymenoptera; Vespidae
Exons: 3
Source: RefSeq, a predicted model, not a curated record
AGAGAGAGAGAGAGAGAGAACGGUGUACCAUAGAGAUCUCACGAGGCAACAAGGACGCGUGACAGUCGUGUUUCGAGAGCGUUGCAUGUCGAUAUGCAUCUGGCAUCGUCGUGCGUCGCCCUCGACGACGCGAAACCAUUAAUAUUUUUGCACUUUCUUCUCAAAGCCGUAAAGAGAGACAGAGAAAGAGGGAGAGAAAUGCGGCCGGUAUAAAGUCGUGCCCUUAUCGAGGCACACGGCCGAGAAAAUUUCUCUCAAUCUCUUUCUUUCCUCGUCAGACCUUUUACGAAAAAAAAAAAAAUAAAGAGAAAAGGAAGAUGGACUGACCUCGGCUGCUUUGAGAAGCUGCGCGUAGUUGAACUCGGGGCAUGCCUUCUCGUUCGACUCUGGCAGAGUGAGCGUAAAACGGAAGGAGGGCGCAAGCUGUUUGCCCUUCUCACCCUUUUUCUCCUUCUUCGCGGCGUGGCCCAGGGACUCCGGAAACUCCAGGGUUUGCAGGGGUACCCGUUUAACCUCUGACAUUCCUACAUUUGCACCGAGCUCGAUUGCGUAUCACGGGAAACACUGCGUUGGCCGCGGCGACAACAUGGUCCCUUUCUCUUCUUAAACACUACACCGACACCGCCACUCGCACGUCGCCAUCUUCGGCACGACUGUUUUUAGAGUGCGCUGCUGACGCCGCUGCUCCUAUUAUCGCCGCCGUCGCCGCCACUAUCGUAUGCGCGCGCAAAACCAUAUUAAAACGGCAUAGCGCAACCCGCACUCAUUUUAAAUAUAUCCUUAUUCCAUUACUUUUGUUUUCUUCAUAUUAUUCUUUUUCUUAAGCUUCUCAACAAAUAAUACAUCAAUGAUAUAUUAAAGUAAAUAAUUAUAAAUGAUUAAUUAUAAAUAAUUUUAUUAAACAAAGAUUUGAUAACGAAAAUGUAUUGCAAAGUUAUACUUGCAAGUACUUGAAAAAUAUUUUAAUGCGGAUAUGCAUGAAUCGUAAGUUUUUCUAAAACUUCGAUUGGUUUAAACGGAACAUUUGCUUUAUAUUAUCAUUGGCGAUAAAAUGAUAUAUUUUCUUAAGUUUUUGGACAAAUAAAAUUUGCAAUAAAUGACAUUAAUAUAAAUUUGUCCAUUAUAUAUAUAUGUGUGUGUGUGUGUGUGUGUGUAUAGGAAGAUUGAUCGAAACUUAAGGAAAUUUUACGUAUUCUUUAUUACGAUAUUUUUUUAUAAACUUACAUACAUUGAUCGCGUUUGAAUUCUUAUGUAAAAAUAUGUGUCUUUAUGUACUAUGAUCUAGUUCAUUUUUGUAUAUAUAACAUAUCUCACAUUGAUGUGCCUGCCAAUAGUUAGAUUAAAUAUGUGAUUAUAAUAUGCAUAACAUCACAUAGAAUUUUUUACAUAUGGAAUAUACAUCCAAUCAAAUAUAUCUUUGUCAUUAUUAUCAUCAGUAUUAUUAUCAUCUUCUUUUGCCAUUUUAAUUGCUAAAAACUUUUUCCCUAAAAGUUUCAUCAACUCUGCAUGAUUUAAGUUCGUUUCCUUUUUCACAGUAUUAUAAUUGUCUUUUACAUAAAGUGCAAAUGCAUUUGGUUCUCUUUUUGGUGCUUGUAUUAGAGUUGUACCAGAUUUCGUUGUUUUUCUGAUGAAUAAUUCAAAUUUUCCAUUACAAUAAUCACAUCGUUUGUUUUCAAUGUCUAAAGACUUUGAAUGUCUUCCAAUACUAAAAUUGAUUGAAACGGAAUGACAAUUAAUCAGAUUAAUUAUCAAUAAUUAAUUAAUAAUUAAUAGAAAAUGAAGUAAAUAAUAAAUCAUGCGAAAAUAUUAUUAAUAUUUUUUAUACCUGCAUCCACAUUGCAUACAUUUAUACAUGAAUUUUGUAUUUAUGUUAUAAUCAUGAAAACGACGAAUGGGAGGAAGCUCAGGGAAUAUUUUCAUGGCCCUGUUAGCCCUAUAUAUAAAAUAUAAUAAAAUAAAUAACAUGUAUAGAAAGCAAUUUAUUCGAAAACUUACCACGUUAUCCACAAGUAUCCAUGACCAUUUGAGGUGCCAUUUAUUAUCCAACAAGCAGCAUGGCAGAUUUCAUGAAUUAAGUACGUUUAACACAUACUUUAGUUGAUAGUUCUAUUCUUGAAGUUCUGUAAAGACGUCCAUGUGAAUUUAUAUAUGAUCUAUUAUGACAGUACCCUGCUACUUCUCUCAUAUGAAUAUUCCAUUCUAUUACCAUAUCUUCAGGUAACAUUUUAUAAAAAAUAUUUUCAUUAUAUAAUUUAUACAAAUCUUUGCAAAGUUCUUCUUUAUUCUUUUUAUAUGAUUGCCUAUAUUUUUUUGCAUCUGGAUGAGCAAUAGUCAGAGGUACUGAAUCAGAUAAAGAGGCUAAGAAACUAUAUGUUUCCUUUUUAUCGCUUUCUAUGUAUGGAAAAUGAUUUUUAUUUGUUGUUGUCCUUGUUGAAUUUUGUUUUAUUCCAUGUAUAUAUGAAAAUUUAUUUUCUGUUUAAUUAAAAAUUAAAGGACUUCAAAAGCAUUGAAAAAUUUGUUAAACACUUUUACAAUAUCAUGUUUAUAAGUAUAUGAUUUUAUUACCUCUUUUAUGUAUACGUUUUUCAGUAAUAUCAUCAUCUGGAUCAAACUCACUUGUAUCAGAACUGCUUUUUUCAUUGUUAAAUGAUGAUAUUUUCUUAUCUAAUACUUUCUGUACUGCACAAUCAGUAUUACAUUUGUCUUUUGUAUCAGAAUCAUAUAUUUCGAUAGGUCUAUAAAAAAAAAAUUUGGGAAUUAUAUUUUGUAUUGUUGCAUAAAAAAUAAAUAAAAAUAUAUCAUACCUUUGAACAGAAGACGAUAUAGUAUUAAGUUUGUCAGAUACAAUAUUUGAUGCUUGUAGAUUUGUUAGAGCAGUAUAAUAUGAACAUUCGCUUUCAUUCUCAGAGGAAGAAGUAUUAUACUUAGAUUGCUUUUGAUUUAUUAAUCUUACUUUCUUAUUUGUACUAGAUGUAUUCUGUUUAUCUGUCGCCUUUAUUGAAUAAUGUUUAUUUCUUGUAGCUUUUCUAUAAACAAUAAAGAUAAUACUUCUUCUUCUGAAUACUUCUUCAUAUAAUCGGUUAUUUUUUAUUUUAGCAAAAAACUUACCUAUCCUUUUGUACAGUUCUAUCUUUUCUCAUAACAAUUGAUUGUUUUUCUGUUGGAGUUGAAAGCAAAUCAUCUGCUUUAUCUCUCCAUACUUGACCAUAUAACUUAUCCAAUAUAUCUGUACAUUGGAUAACAUUCAUAUUAUUCAAUUCCUUUUUAUCUUCAUUUUUAUAUUGAUCAUUUUCCUUUUUAUCUUCAUUUUUAUAUUGAUCAUUUUCCUUUUUAUCUUCAUUUUUAUAUUGAUCAUUUUCCUGGAAAACGUAUGAAAAUACAGGAGGAUCGGGUUUUUCUAAAAAUUGAUGCGAUACAAUAGGAGUACUUUUUGUAUUUAAUGGAGUAAAAUAAUUAUCAAUUCUUUUAAACUCUAUUUUUCCUCUAUUAUUCGGAGUUUCAUAAUUCAUCUCCAAUCUUUCUAAACUACUGUUUCCAGAACUUAUACUAUUUUUAUUGCUUGCAGGUACAUUAUUGAAUGAAGAAUUGUCACUAUCCAAUCGUGGUAAACCCGUCAUAAGCCAAUUUGAAAUUUCUUUUUUUUUUCUUUUAGAUAGGGUUUUUACUGUAUUAUCUUUAGGAGAAUCAACAGAUUGAUCAUGUAUUUUAGAUGAAGUUACUGUGUUUAUUUCAGUACGUUGAUUUUUGAUAAUAUCAGAAUUUGAAAGGGUUUCAUCUAUUAUUGUAGCAGAUAUUCGCUGUGGCAUAAUCAUCUUUUGCUUUAUAAAUAAUCAAUUCUUUCCAAAUAACAAAGAAAUAAACAAUGGACUCAAUAAUCAAAUUUCUUUUGGAAAUAAUAAAAUUUCGUUGAUACUAUUUCGUAUUCUCUGCAAUGUGCUGUAAUUGAUAAUAUCAAGAUAUUCGUUACACGUCAACGACAGGUAUGAUUCUGAAAAAUUAAUAUUGUUAGUAUGUUAUGUGCAAUGAAUGAAUAUGGAAUAUUCGUCAAAUAUGCACUACUAUGAUUAUGAAAAAAAUGGAAAAGAAAACUUCGUUUGCGAGUUUUGCAUGAGUCAUACUUUUUUUUUUUUCUGAAUAUUGAAAGAGAUAGAAAGAGAGAGAGAAAGAGAGAGAGAGAGAGAGAGGGAAUUUUUCUAAUUUGCCUUGUUAUGGCAGAGUAAAUUGAUUUUUUCAUAUGUACAUUUUGUAAGCAUAUGUAGAUUUUGAAAAUAAAUAUGUAAUCUUCCUUACAUAAAUAUGCAUAUAUCUUUUGAGUUAUCUGCCGGAAGUACAAUCAAAUUAUUUUUUAUAAUUUCGCUCAAUUUUUGCAUGAAGUCCAACGAUAUUUUGGCGUUAGUUUAAAUUGAACGCAUUUCAUUAAAAAAAAAAAAAAAAAAAAAAAAAAAAAAAAAAAAAAAAAAAAAAUUGG